GUCUUGCUGCGGCUCUCGUCGGAGGCGACUUAUCCUCGCGACCUUAAUUCACUCGAAGGGAGCUGUCCCUGUCCCGGCCCGAGGGCUGGGGCACAUGGCGCCCACCUGGUUAUCCAGGUCGAGAGGAUUGAACAGUCCUCCACGGUUCUCGCGGCGCCGCC
Molecule: non-coding RNA, 161 nt
Filed under: Caulobacterales bacterium
Lineage: Bacteria; Pseudomonadati; Pseudomonadota; Alphaproteobacteria; Caulobacterales
Description: 6S RNA
Rfam family: 6S / SsrS RNA
About the family: E. coli 6S RNA was the first non coding RNA to be sequenced, but its function was unknown until recently. It consists of 184 nucleotides that fold into an extended hairpin structure with a large single-stranded internal bulge. The 6S RNA specifically associates with RNA polymerase holoenzyme containing the sigma70 specificity factor.
Source: RNAcentral